Molecule: ribosomal RNA, 410 nt
Filed under: uncultured bacterium
Lineage: Bacteria
Description: bacterial SSU rRNA
Rfam family: Bacterial small subunit ribosomal RNA
Source: RNAcentral
UUGGGAAUAUUGGACAAUGGGGGAAACCCUGAUCCAGCAAUGCCGCGUGAGUGAUGAAGGCUCUCGGGUCGUAAAGCUCUUUAAGCAGGGAAAAAGGGAAACUUGAUGGUACCUGCAGAAUAAGCACCGGCUAACUCUGUGCCAGCAGCCGCGGUAAUACAGAGGGUGCAAGCGUUGUUCGGAAUCAUUGGGCGUAAAGCGCGUGUAGGCGGUCUUCUAAGUCUGGUGUGAAAGCCCAGGGCUUAACCCUGGAAGUGCACUGGAUACUGGAAGACUAGAGGGCGAGAGGGGAAAGCGGAAUUCCUGGUGUAGGGGUGAAAUCCGUAGAUAUCAGGAGGAACAUCGGUGGCGAAGGCGGCUUUCUGGCUCGUUUCUGACGCUCAGACGCGAAAGCGUGGGUAGCAAACAGG